AGUGAACGCUGGCGGUAGGCCUAACACAUGCCAGUCGAACGGCAGCACAGUAAGAGCUUGCUCUUACGGGUGGCGAGUGGCGGACGGGUGAGGAAUACAUCGGAAUCUACUUUUUCGUGGGGGAUAACGUAGGGAAACUUACGCUAAUACCGCAUACGACCUACGGGUGAAAGCAGGGGAUCUUCGGACCUUGCGCGAUUGAAUGAGCCGAUGUCGGAUUAGCUAGUUGGCGGGGUAAAGGCCCACCAAGGCGACGAUCCGUAGCUGGUCUGAGAGGAUGAUCAGCCACACUGGAACUGAGACACGGUCCAGACUCCUACGGGAGGCAGCAGUGGGGAAUAUUGGACAAUGGGCGCAAGCCUGAUCCAGCCAUACCGCGUGGGUGAAGAAGGCCUUCGGGUUGUAAAACCCUUUUGUUGGGAAAGAAAAGCAGCAGGUUAAUACCCCGCUGUUCUGACGGUACCCAAAGAAUAAGCACCGGCUAACUUCGUG
This 492-nucleotide ribosomal RNA is filed under the name uncultured bacterium. RNAcentral's name for it is "partial 16S ribosomal RNA". It matches the Rfam family "Bacterial small subunit ribosomal RNA", at positions 29 to 507 of the family's 1533-position model. The record is from RNAcentral.